UGGCUGCGCCGGCUGUUGCCAGCGCUGGAAAGGGCCGGGGAGGUUGGGGCAGCCUCGGCUGCGCCCACUUUCGGGGUCGAUGGCCCCGUCUGCUGUGUUGACGGAGCAGCGCUAGCUGCAACCGCCACGGGGGCAGAUGGCGUAACUGCCGACUCACUGCCUGUGGGUCAGACAGCCGCCGGAUGACGUUGUGGCGCUGCCCCCUUACGCACCACAUCGGCAAAGCUGCUCUUAGACAGGACGGGCAGGACCGCGAGUAUGCGGCAUGCUCGCCAUCGCAGUUGACACUAUGUGGAGUGUUCUGGCAUGUUUCGGAGGAAUGUUCUUUGUCACUGCACUUGGCACAAGUCAGCCGGCCUCGACAGUUCUGUGAACUAUGGCCGAAACUUUGGCACUUAAAGCAUCUGAGAGGAUUCGGAACGUAUGGCCGAACACGAAGUUUAAUAUAACCGGCCUCGAUGGAUUCGGCAAGGACACUUGAGCCAAAGAUUUACUGUGCUUAGGCGGCUCUAAUGGCUGGACAGAUGCGCCCACGGCGAGCCAUUUCUCGGACGAGUUCUCGCCGUCGCUCGUCGAAGGCUGCCAGUUACUCGAGGGAACACACGGUGCGUGGCCGUCCCAUCUGUGUUGCGGGUACGAACUGAACCCAAACAAAGCCGGCGUACCUCUCGCGCAAUACUUUCACGACAUUUCCCUCCCCGGCGGAAGCGAAAUGGCUCUGAUUAGUAGCUCGCUUGGCGUAAGCGCGCCUACGCAACG
Molecule: long non-coding RNA, 759 nt
Organism: Dermacentor andersoni
Lineage: Eukaryota; Metazoa; Arthropoda; Arachnida; Ixodida; Ixodidae
Source: RefSeq, a predicted model, not a curated record